Molecule: ribosomal RNA, 232 nt
Filed under: uncultured bacterium
Lineage: Bacteria
Description: partial 16S ribosomal RNA
Rfam family: Bacterial small subunit ribosomal RNA
Source: RNAcentral
GAUCAUGGCUCAGGAUGAACGCUAGCUACAGGCUUAACACAUGCAAGUCGAGGGGCAGCGGGAUUGAAGCUUGCUUCAAUUGCCGGCGACCGGCGCACGGGUGAGUAACGCGUAUCCAACCUUCCGUACACUCAGGGAUAGGCCUUUUGAAAGAAAGAUUAAUACCUGAUGGUAUGAUGAGAUUGCAUGGUAUCAUCAUUAAAAGAUUUAUCGGUGUACGAUGGGGAUGUCG